UGGUUUUUGACUUGAUGUAAUAUAGGAGAC
RNAcentral lists this non-coding RNA (30 nucleotides) under Rattus norvegicus (Norway rat). Lineage: Eukaryota; Metazoa; Chordata; Mammalia; Rodentia; Muridae. The record is from RNAcentral.